CGGACGGGUGAGUAAUGUCUGGGAAACUGCCCGAUGGAGGGGGAUAACUACUGGAAACGGUAGCUAAUGCCGCAUAACGUCGCAAGACCAAAGAGGGGGACCUUAGGGCCUCUUGCCAUCGGAUGUGCCCAGAUGGGAUUAGCUAGUAGGUGGGGUAAUGGCUCACCUAGGCGACGAUCCCUAGCUGGUCUGAGAGGAUGACCAGCCACACUGGAACUGAGACACGGUCCAG
Molecule: ribosomal RNA, 232 nt
Filed under: uncultured bacterium
Lineage: Bacteria
Description: partial 16S ribosomal RNA
Rfam family: Bacterial small subunit ribosomal RNA
Source: RNAcentral